CCUGGAACGUCUCAAGGCAGACCUGCAGGCUGUAGUACAGGGUGAAGAAGAUCAGGUAUAUGAUCAGAAGAUGAGGUAUAUUGGGGUCCUUCACAGGUGUACACACCUGUGGAGAGUCUGUUAAGUAAUGGCUGCAUGACCCUGCUGAUUGUGUGGUACAAAGAAAACUCACCUAAAGCAAGUGCAGGAGAGUACUGGGGCUCGACAUGAAACUGCAGAGCUUUUUCAGCACCUUGAAAAUACUUAACUAGACGUAAACAACAAAACAGAACAUGGCAUAAGUGUGAGUUAAGGACAGGACUACCAGCUCAACGAAUCUUCUCACACAGAAGGAGAUUACUGCAGAAAGCCAGAUGACCGAUGACCUGCUCUGGAUGAUUCAUUCUCUGGCUGAAGAGCUUAUUGCUGUGGGAUGGGUGAUACUGGAUCAAACUGUUAGGAGAUAAUUUGGUUGCUGAUGUAGCAGGACUUGCCCUUGAGCCUGUGUUGUGCUGAAGACCAGCUUUCUGGACAGCAGCAUCUUUGGACAGGUUCCACUAGGAAAUUCUGGUAGCAGGUGAAGGUGUUUUGGCCCAUGCAACCUGUUGUGCAGAGAGCCUCAGAGACAGAGACAGUUAGGCAAGGAAAAUGGGCAAGACAUAGAUAAAAAAUAAAAGCCCCUGCGCUUGUAGAUCUCUUUGCCCAUACCUAUUUCUGAGCUCUGUCAGGAGCAGCAGAGGAUACUUGGUGCAUUGAAGACAAAGGGAACAGAGAAAAUCAGAUGACGUUUAAAAGCUGUAUUGCCCAUAACUUUUCUGAACUUGGAAAGGGCCCGCCAAUUAUAUUCUGAGAUGCCAAAGAACAGCAUCUGUAAAACUGCAAACCAUAAUCACUUCUGGGUAGUUCAUGGCUGUCCUCCACAUCUCAUUGCAUUUAUUGCUGAGACCAUUGAGAAUCAGAGCCUGGAAAUUUUAAUUUCCUCUUGCAUGUGUUUAGGUAACAGAGGCACAUGAUGACCUCGGGAUAAAAAGUCAUCUCCUGGGUCUCCACAGCAGUGUACACUGUGGCUGACUUCUGCCUUGUCCUCUGCAGUUUGACCUUAGGCCAAGCUUGUAGGAUGGUCUUCAGAAGAAAACCAGCUCUGGUUUCUGCUGUGCUCUUAGGAAAGGAAUUCUUCCUCUCAUCAGAUACAGAGGAACUACUGUGAAACACAUGCCAUAUGUUGUAGGCAUGUGUUUACAUACAUAUUCAUCUCUGUGGCUGCUGGAAUCUCUGUUAAACAGCAGCUUUGGUUCUUUAGGGCUCUGACUAUUCCACACUGUAAGUAUUAUACACUGGACCGUGCAGAUCACUUCUGUUUAUCCCAAUAUUGCUCUAAAUUGAGCUGCUUGUUCUUUCAGAUGUGAGAAGAGUCUGUCUUGAAGAGAUUUUUCUUUUGUUUAAUAAAACAAUCAGUAGAAUAGAAGUUGUCAGAGCUAAAAUUGUGUGUGCUUUAGGUUGCUUCAUUUUCUGAAAACCUCUACUCCCAUUGACACAGCUGAUAUAGCUGUGUUGUGGGUUAUUC
Molecule: long non-coding RNA, 1543 nt
Organism: Anas platyrhynchos (mallard)
Lineage: Eukaryota; Metazoa; Chordata; Aves; Anseriformes; Anatidae
Source: RefSeq, a predicted model, not a curated record